This 132-nucleotide small RNA is filed under the name Escherichia coli. RNAcentral describes it as "RtT sRNA". It matches the Rfam family "RtT RNA". From Rfam's summary of the family: This family represents a bacterial cis-regulatory element known as RtT RNA. The exact function of RtT is unknown although it is thought that it may be involved in changing the cellular response in relation to amino acid starvation. The record is from RNAcentral. Lineage: Bacteria; Pseudomonadati; Pseudomonadota; Gammaproteobacteria; Enterobacterales; Enterobacteriaceae.
AUUCUGCCCAUGCGGGGAAGGACGAGAAGCUUCGACCAAGGUUCGACUYGAGCGYCAGCGAGAGAGCGUUGCCGCAGGCAACGACCCGUAGGGCGAAGCGCGCAGCGCUGAGUAAUCCUUCCCCCACCACCA